This 245-nucleotide ribosomal RNA is filed under the name uncultured bacterium. RNAcentral describes it as "partial 16S ribosomal RNA". It matches the Rfam family "Bacterial small subunit ribosomal RNA", at positions 87 to 334 of the family's 1533-position model. The record is from RNAcentral.
ACUGGCGACCGGCGCACGGGUGAGUAACACGUAUCCAACCUGCCUCAUACUCGGGGAUAGCCUUUCGAAAGAAAGAUUAAUAUCCGAUAGCAUAUAUUUCCCGCAUGGGUUUUAUAUUAAAGAAAUUCGGUAUGAGAUGGGGAUGCGUUCCAUUAGUUUGUUGGGGGGUAGCGGCCCACCAAGACUACGAUGGAUAGGGGUUCUGAGAGGAAGGUCCCCCACAUUGGAACUGAGACACGGUCCAA